CUUCAAAAAUAGGCUCUAAAAUGUGUGAAUUUAAAUGUAGUUAUGCUACAAUACAGCUAUCAAACUUCAAGUAAGAAACCAAAGAAAAUAUCUUUCAUACUGUCACGUUCCCAACCUACACCCUAAAUAUAAUAGGCACUCGAAACCACCAAUGGCCCGAGAGAAUCCUUGGUCUAGCAAGCUGUUCAUAAAACUUUAUUUUCAAAAGUUGCGGAAACUCACAACAAUAAACUUCUAUAAACAAUAUAUAAACACUUGAUUUCAGCAUCCAAAACUAAAAAUCAUUUUAAAGACAACUUGAAAAUCGCAAAGCAACAUAUAUCUAAUGAAGCCUCUAAAAAUGAACCGAAUAAGUCAAUUGGGACAAGCCCCCAGGAAAACUUAAUCUAAAUGGCUGUCUAAAGGUUUAAUAAGUAGAAGGGACAUAACCAAGUCCUCUAGAUGCAAGGACUCACCAUAGGCUGAUAGUGAAAAGUCUAACGAAACAUCUGACAGCAUCCCUGUGUCUGUGUGCCUAAAAUCUACAUCAUGACAUGAUACAAUCCAAAAAUAGAAAACGAUCAAUACAAAAUGUAUUCGUAUGUAAUAGUGGAAUAUAAUGGAACAAUAAACAUGUACUAACUAGAAACUAACUGAAUGAACAUUUGAAUUAAAUCAUAACAAAUGACAUGAGCAAGGAAAUAUAGAACACAAGACAUACUAACUUUUCUUACGAAGCUAUCUUUACUAAAAUAAUGCAAUGAAUAAGUUAUCCAAAACAUGAAAAUAAUGUAAAAACUUAAAUAGCCAACUUCAUCAAACGUAAACCCGAAAGAAAGUAGUUGAAAUGCUGGAGUAAAACAACUCUAAUACAAUUCAUACAACAAAAAUUGAAACUAGAAACUGAAUGAUUGAAAUCUGAGCAAAACUUGAAAAUGAUAUUUCAUAAAAAUCUCUUUAAACUAGUGGCUCAGGCCAAUAAUGUAUUCCCUCAAAAUAAGUACGUUUUCUUUUUGAGAGUUUCUCUUAACCGACAUGUGCGCAACAUGAAGUACAAAGUCUUUUUCACAUUGCCAGAACCCAAGGUCUUGUCCAGUUCUGCCCACCUAUACCUUGUCAGGUUAUAAGACGUGACAUAAUCUAGGGAUCCAUCCCAAAGCUGAGCCCGGAGGCUAUAAAUAAUAGAGGAGUCAUCCCAUCUGCGGAUUAUUCUUUCCUUCGAAAUAUGGCGACAUAAUUUUGGAAUAUGAAACCUUAGACUCGUACCCAUCUUGAUGCUAAAUAAUCCUCGCAAAAGUAUACUAGUUACUCAUAUUAUACAUCUUUAAACAAUUUUAUAAAAUCAUGCUUGACUCAAAAUAUCAUAGCAUGUACAUAUUUAUUUGUGUGAGCCUUGACUCUAAAUCUCUUUAACUUUUACUUUACAAGCUACGAUAAGUUUUUGUACUUUCCAAGCCAUGAUAUUAUUCAAAGCAAUUCUCAUAAUCUUUUCACGAAUUUAUAGUACUUAAAGAGUUUUCAAGUAAACUUUGGACAGAAUAGAUCUCAUCAGCGGCGGACCCAAAAUUCAAGGAGUGUGGGUGCUUACUACAGCAAAAAAAUAAAAAAUCAUCUCAACCAAAUUUGAACCCGAGCACACCUACCAGUAGAGAGACUUAAGAUCCAGCUAAAUGCCAGUGCAUCUAACCAACUUCUUGUUUAGUGGGUGCUUUUAUAUAAUUUAUACCUAUUUUCAUAUAUUUUUUAUAUGAUUAUACCUAUUUCGUGUCGAGUUUGGUGGGUGUCGGAGCACCCAAAAAUUAUGUGUAGGUCCGCCCUUGGAUCUCAUGAAAACAAGUGAUAAACUUUAAGUAACAUUAAUAAAACUCAUAAACAUUAUAUGGAGAAAACUGAUAGACAUGCCAUGAAAUUCAAUCUUGAGAAAGACAUCUAACCCAUAGAACUAACAUUAAUAUUUAAGAAAUAACUAAGAAAGUUGUAACAAGGAUAAAAACUAAUACUUAAAAAUAUUUAAAUUUGAAACCCUACUAAAUCAUGAACUUAAUGUGAAAGUAAGACUCAAUUGUGGGAAAGAAUGGGUUCCUCAUGAAAGGUGUUGCUCUUACGUACCUCAGAGAUGAUCUAUGGGGAAGAGCCCUUUGAAUUUGGAGCCCUACCUUAAUCUUUCUUGAAGCUUGAAUGUUUUAAAACCUUGAGAAGAUUUGAGAGGAUGCUUUUAAUCAAUAUUAAGGUAAAUAGAAGAGUGGGAAAUAUUUUAGAAGGGUGGAGAACGAUUGAGGUUAAGGAAAGGACCAAAAAGCCCCAGAAAUAACGCCGGAGAAAAUUUUCCAUCGGGGCCUUGGGUUUGUGGCCGCAUAAUAGCUUGCAUAUGGCUUCUAGUAACUUCUCCAAACCAAAUGCCUGUGUUUUCUUGGUCUGCGUUGGGUUUGCAAACGCAGAAAGGGAUUUUCCAUCGUAAAUCAGUCCGAAAAACUUUUCAUUGUGUAAGUCAGUUUACUAACUUUUGAUAAAAUGAUCAUAACUUUACACUCCGAAAUCAGAUUCACAAACAACCAGUGGUAUUAGAAAGAAGACUCCAAGAACUUUCAUUUGGUGUAUGUUGGGCCGCAAAACUCUUCAUAUUCUUAGAGUUAUGUUCGUUUGAAUUUGACCCUAGUAAAAUCUUAUACGAAAACUCAAUCAGUAAAGAAGCUUUCAAUUUAACUUUGAGCUAGAAGUUUCUUAUGAC
Molecule: long non-coding RNA, 2707 nt
Filed under: Capsicum annuum
Lineage: Eukaryota; Viridiplantae; Streptophyta; Magnoliopsida; Solanales; Solanaceae
Description: long non-coding RNA (CANN_LNC018705)
Source: RNAcentral